Long non-coding RNA from Erpetoichthys calabaricus (reedfish), 570 nucleotides. RefSeq lists it as uncharacterized. The transcript is spliced from 3 exons. The record is from RefSeq and is a predicted model, not a curated record. NCBI's taxonomy places the organism in Eukaryota, Metazoa, Chordata, Cladistia, Polypteriformes, Polypteridae.
AGGAAUGUGAGUUUAGUGAAGGAGCUAUUGAAAGAGACGAAAGAAAGGAGAAUAUUCAUGACAGAAAUGGUAAAACAAGUUCUCCCCAUGUCAGCAUGGGUUUCCUCCAGGUGUUCCAGUUUGUUUCCACAGUACAAAAACAUGCAUCCCAGCUAGGUCCUGAUUCUGUCCUGUACGAACAUUUCCAUCCUGGCAACCACAUAUCCACCAAGCAAGCUGUCACAGGACUCAGACAGUCCCAGACAUGAAGCCUUCCUGAAAAGUACACGUUUCUAUAAAUAUACAUAAGGUUGGAUUAUUGGUAUUGUGAACACUGGUCAUUAUAACAUUCCAGUGAAACGGGAGGUGUACACAUAAGCAUCAAAGUAAUGCUAACCAAGUCUUCAGCUGAAUAAGUUGAAGAAAAAAUAAAAAUUCCCUCUAAUAUUCAGGUUUUAGUAGUAAUCUUAAUGUUUCAUAAUUAUACACAUUGUCAAUCACACUGGCAUGUAAAAAGAAGAAUAAAAAGAAAAUUUAAUUGGGGUUGAGAAUUUUUAGCAUUUUGAAUGCUGCAAUAGUAUGAGUAAGGGU